AGCGUAGACGGUGCAGCAAGUCUGAAGUGAAAUCCCAGGGCUCAACCCUGGAACUGCUUUGGAAACUGUCGUACUAGAGUGCAGGAGAGGUAAGUGGAAUUCCUAGUGUAGCGGUGAAAUGCGUAGAUAUUAGGAGGAACACCAGUGGCGAAGGCGGCUUACUGGACUGUAACUGACGUUGAGGCUCGAAAGCGUGGGGAGCAAACA
This 207-nucleotide ribosomal RNA is filed under the name uncultured Lachnospiraceae bacterium. RNAcentral describes it as "partial 16S ribosomal RNA". It matches the Rfam family "Bacterial small subunit ribosomal RNA", at positions 568 to 774 of the family's 1533-position model. The record is from RNAcentral. Lineage: Bacteria; Bacillati; Bacillota; Clostridia; Lachnospirales; Lachnospiraceae.